UUAUUACUGAUUAAUUAAUCAGAAUACGCGGAUCCGGAUGGAGUGGAGUAAUGGGUUGUAUGUUUGUUAUACACCCUGGUGAAUUUACAUCCAUUAAAGAAAACAUAAGAUAAAUAUUUAACUACGAUUUAAUAAAGACAAAAAUGUGAAAUCAAAGAAAGAAAUGAUAAAACAUAAAUAACAGUUUUAAAUUUAGAAUUCUAAAUAUUAACCAUGGUUUGUUGUCAAGGGAUGUUUUCAAUGUAUUGUGAUUGAAUGUCUCAGUAUGUUUCUUAGAUUGUGACAUACCCAAGAAAGGUCUCAAAGAAACACUUUCGGUGGUUCCAUAGAUUGAUAUACCAUACUCACGGUGGUUACAUAAAUUGGCAUAUGUGAAAAGUAUCAAACAAUCAGAUGAAGCAUAUAUAGAAUACAUCUUGAAAAACGUUCACAAUCUGUAAAAUGUUAAGAACAAUAUGAACAUUUGAAUUUAGCAGAAGAGCACCAGUUGAGCUAGCAGAGUUCAGGUUUCCGUAUCCUUCACUGACUACUGUCUGUUUAAAGAUGCAACCCAUUUGUCACUAUAACCCAAUUAACUCAAGCUGGAAAUAGAAAUAUUGUUAAUUUUGGGUGUUUCCCGGCGUACUGGAAAGCGUCUGAAAAUUGUGACUCAAGGAACACUUCUCGAAAGAGACGUUAAACAAGAUAUAAUCAAUCAAUCUUCAGGAAGAACAGGGACUAUACUGACAUUUCCUCCCUUUCUAAAGAACUAAGCUAGAAAAAACUCUACAAGUCUAUGAGUUCCCGGGAGCCUCCUUCUGGAAAAUGCGAGGCCUUCGAAAACACGGGUACCUUAAGGUAGCGACGGAUAGCAACCACGUGAUCAGUAAAAAUUGUGUAUUUUCACGUGAAUUCAUUUUCCGGAAUUCCUUACUCCGUCAUAGAAUAGUCGAAAAACAAAAAGGGGUUCCGAAAGUGUUUGUUGCUGUGACUGACUCGCCUAGAGAAAAUAUGCACGUACCACAUAAGUAUACGUCAAUAUCUGUAAUAAUGGUAGAUGAAAUGUUUCAUCUGUGUGAAACUUUUUGCUAAUCGAAAUGUUAAACCAACCACCAAUCCAUGUACAUAGAUGCGCAACGUAAACAAAGUUGUUGGUUGAUACAUCGUAAUGUCCGAGUGCAGCAUGCUGCGAGAUUAAAUACUGUUUAUACAGUCAUUGAGAGGCUAAACAAAGUUUCUUGCAAGAAGAGGAAGUUGGUGGAUGCAUUCAACUUGGACAACGAAAUCAUAGUUUCGUUUGGCAUCAGUCUGAGGACCAAGGGAGGUUAGAUAGGACCAGUGCAGGUUGAUGUGAAUUUCGAGUCAACAAGUAUAACAGCAAGAGAGGUACUCCAUUUACAGUGAUGAUGACAUAUCCCCUGGACCCCCACAACUCCACAAAUUUAAAAAUGUUUGAUCAAGUUCCGAAGAUUAAAGAACUACUGCAAAAUUGGGACUUGGAUGAAAAACGUUAAUUCACUUAUAUGAGCUCAGAGCAGUGGAUGUUGUACAACAUACUUUAAACUAAAUUGUGAAUUUGAGGGAAAACAAGUACAUGUACUCGUGUAUUACAUGUACAUGCCUUUUGAAAGACAAUAAUAUUGCAUAGAUGUAAAGGAAAUUUCAAUGUUGAUUAUUCUUUCUUAGAUAUAUUAGUAAAAAAUGUGCACAUGAUAGAAUAUCAAUUUUAUAACUUCAAUCAAUGUGUUUGAAUUUUCCUUGUAAUUCAAAAUUUAGUUGAAACAUACAUCAUUGAUACAUUAAUGUAUAUAAAAUUUUUAUAAAAGUUUCAUAAUGGAACUAAUUCACCCCUCCCCCCCCCCCCCCCCCCCUUAUACAUACAGUGAACAUAGACCUUCACCUGGGGAAAUCUACUGUUAGUUAAUGCAAUAUACAUGUACAUGCAUUCUCAGUUAUCCAAUAGUGAGUUUUUGGUUCAUUGUGAAACUACAAUUAAAAAUCUUAAACUUAUGAAAGACACACUUAUCUGUGAGGGCAAGAUGACUCAGAUGGACUUACAUGUAGUGAUUCAUGGGCAGUCCAUGGGUCUCUUUCCAUUGAUAUUAAUUAUUUAUUGAAAUAUGAAAUGGUUAUUUAAACAUAUUUGGUGUAUUAUACUGUAUAGUGAUAUAAAUUUCUAUAAAAAAAAUAUGUAUAAGUAAUAGAUUUGGUCCAGUUAUUACAAGAAAUUGUGUGAAAAUAACUAAAUAUUUAGGCAAUCAUUGCGAGUGCAAAAAGGUCAACUGCAAUAGCACACACUAUAUAUCAUUCUUAAAUGGCUCAUAGAAACUUCUAGUAUUGUGAAUUUGAAUGCUCAAUGUGGUAAUUUGGGAAUGCUUAAUCAUUUAAGGUCAAUAGUUUAUCUCUGCUGACUGUAUCUCUUAAAAUUCAUUUCUAGAAGGGAGGGGGUAGGGUUACAAAAUCUGACAUAGUUUCAGAUUAAACCUCAUUUGGUAUAUUUUUUUCCAUUCAAUAUUUUAGAUACUACUUGACUUAUUGUAAAAAUGAAAUAAAAUCAGAAAUUUUA
Long non-coding RNA from Ostrea edulis (European flat oyster), 2545 nucleotides. RefSeq lists it as uncharacterized. The record is from RefSeq and is a predicted model, not a curated record. The transcript is spliced from 3 exons. Lineage: Eukaryota; Metazoa; Mollusca; Bivalvia; Ostreida; Ostreidae.